Molecule: ribosomal RNA, 253 nt
Filed under: uncultured bacterium
Lineage: Bacteria
Description: partial 16S ribosomal RNA
Rfam family: Bacterial small subunit ribosomal RNA
Source: RNAcentral
UACGUAGGGCGCAAGCGUUGUCCGGAAUUAUUGGGCGUAAAGAGCUCGUAGGCGGUCUGUCGCGUCUGCUGUGAAAACCCGAGGCUCAACCUCGGGCCUGCAGUGGGUACGGGCAGACUAGAGUGCGGUAGGGGAGAAUGGAAUUCCUGGUGUAGCGGUGGAAUGCGCAGAUAUCAGGAGGAACACCGAUGGCGAAGGCAGUUCUCUGGGCCGUAACUGACGCUGAGGAGCGAAAGCGUGGGGAGCGAACAGG